Molecule: ribosomal RNA, 479 nt
Filed under: uncultured bacterium
Lineage: Bacteria
Description: partial 16S ribosomal RNA
Rfam family: Bacterial small subunit ribosomal RNA
Source: RNAcentral
GAUGAACGCUGGCGGGAGGCCUAACACAUGCAAGCCGAGCGGUAGAGUUUCUUCUGAAUCUUGAGAGCGUCGCACGGGUGCGUAACACGUGUGCAACCUACCUUUAUCUGGGGGAUAGCCUUUCGAAAGGAAGAUUAAUACCCCAUAAUAUAAUGAUUGGCAUCAAUUAUUAUUGAAAACUCCGGUGGAUAGAGAUGGGCACGCGUAAGAUUAGAUAGUUGGUGAGGUAACGGCUCACCAAGUCAAUGAUCUUUAGGGGUCCUGAGGGGGAGAUCCCCCACGCUGGUACUGAGACACGGACCAGACGAGUACGGGCGGCAGCAGUGAGGAAGAGUAGACGAGGGGAGAGAGCCUGAUCCAGCCAUCCCGCGUGAAGGAUGACUGUCCUAGGGAUAUUAAACUUCUUUUGUACAGGGAUAAACCUACUCUCGAGAGGGUAGCUGAAGGUACUGUACGAAUAAGCACCGGCUAACUCCGUG